GGCAUCCAUUAGUUGUAAGAAAAAUACGUAUUCUCUCUCCUUUUUUUUAAUUAUACUUUAUGUUCUAGGGAUGCAGUUGGAAAUGCGUUCUCUUUUUAUGAUCCCAAGAAAAGAGAAGUGUAUGAGAAAAGAGGUUUGCCAACACUUGCCUUAGAAGACAGAAGCUAGUAGGUUCAAUUCAUUGCACCUUGUUUCCUGUAACUAGCUCGUCUCUGUUGCCUUCAACACAAAACAGCUGGAAUAAUUUAAAGCAUUUUUACCUCCUUUACUGAAGAACUUUUCGUGUGUUCCUAUUGUUUAUAUUGUUAAUAAAAUAUUUCAGUUCUUCUAAUAA
This 334-nucleotide long non-coding RNA is filed under the name Rhinopithecus bieti (black snub-nosed monkey). RNAcentral's name for it is "lncRNA (ENSRBIG00000046246.1)". The record is from RNAcentral. Lineage: Eukaryota; Metazoa; Chordata; Mammalia; Primates; Cercopithecidae.